RNAcentral lists this ribosomal RNA (2115 nucleotides) under Triticum aestivum (bread wheat). RNAcentral describes it as "partial small subunit ribosomal RNA". Lineage: Eukaryota; Viridiplantae; Streptophyta; Magnoliopsida; Poales; Poaceae. The record is from RNAcentral.
GGCCCUAGGGCGCGGGAGGGAACGCACGCACGCGCACGCCGGCGCGGCGUUAGGGUGAUCAGGUUAGCGCGGCCUAACAAAAAGCACCCUCUUUACUGCGCUCCCUAGCCGUUCGCUGGGCUCGCUCGAGGGUGAGGAGCAAAGGCGCGCCUUAGGUGUUUAGCGCGGAUCGAAGACAGAGAGACGGAGUGGUUCACAUGGGUGCGUACGGCUGCUACCUGCGUCGUCCGUCUCUACGGUUGGGCGACCGGCCGAUGGCCUAGCCGUUUUGGGAGCCGUAGCCCAGGAAACCAUUCCACUUCUAGCGGCUCGUAUAUUAAUGCCCGGUGUUCCAACGUUAGUUCUAGGAGUUAGCGGCAUUCUAGUUCUCGUACCUCUACCUUCUCUUUCACUUUUCUCUCUAGUUCUAUGACUCUAAUAAAUACGUAGGAGUAUAGUAUGCCGAAAUACUCCAGUAUCUAUGGGGUCGCCUAUAAAUACAACAAUACCUCAUACAAUUUAGACCUCUCAAUAAACUAAUGUAACAACUCUUCCCUUCUAAUGUUCUCCUUCUUCGAGCAGCGAAAAAGGUCGUUUAAUAUAGACCACACCUUAUAACGGUAUCUUUAUACCACCAAGUGGCACUAGACUUCGGUCUCUUGGAAGACAACCUAAGCUUUACAUUACAAUUCUAACGUCUAAAACCGAAUUCAUUACAAUACGCACUGCCGGUGAAAGACUUCUGAUCAACACCAUCGGGUUUAAUACGUCGUGGACUCCACUAUAGUCCAUUUGACAUGCGACCGGGACUUCAACUACAAACCUCGACACCACAAUAAGACAUACGGGAAGAAACACCGUGAGAAGGUAAACUACUACUCUUGUAUGGUUUGGAAAAAUUCUUUUAUUUCCCCCCUUAUAUGUGGGAAGGAUCAGUGAACAGAGGAAAUCGUUCUCUAAACUAGGGUUCUUACGACCAACAACUAGGAUACUUCUCCUAAUGGUAUGCACUUUAGGCACUUGUAAGUACCAAGUUUCGAUCUGAAGGUGCGAUAAACCGACACGGAGGAGGUCUGUGACGUGUUGUUCAGUUUUUCGAACUGCUACUUUGAGACUUACUACAAUAGUUUUACCCUAAACUGUUUUUAGUCGAUUGACUUAGAGAAGUUUUCUCUAACGUUUUACUCCGCUGUCAACGUAUAAUAAAUGAGAACCUGUUAUUCGAAGCAUGUUGGUCACCAAUGGAACCUCGGCUCAUAGUUCUCAGUUACCUGAGUAGAAAGAGGGUUCAAAGUGGACUUUGUGGUUCAAGUCGUAGACUUCGAGCCGUCAUACCAAGAGGUCCCAAACCGAACUCCGUAGUAAAACGUCGACUCUCCUUUACCCGAGAACCAGAAGUCAGAGCUCGUGUAGGUGCUCUUUAGUAUUGACUUCACGAAUUUCGAGACGUUCUCGAUUUACAAACGACCUUCUUCUAACCCGUGAUAUUGUACUUCACGUCCACCUCAGGACCGAAACAACUCUGUUACUACGUAUUGUUGUUACCGAAGCCACACCUCAGACGAUAUUAACUUCGACUACCGGAGUCACUGUUUAGUUGGGUGUAGCACUUCAAACUUUAAGUCGAGAUGUUUUGUUCCCUACUCUUCAUAGAAGAGCUGAACGUUUCCCAGUCACCUGGUGUCGAGGAGAAAGACCUGGACACAAGACGGAAAGAUUGGGUCGACUCUCAGGAGACUAGGACUACUUCUACCACUGAAGGGUUGACGUUUCGGAGUGUCGAAGGACGCUUCACGCUUCAAUGUCAGUUCCACAUGUAUUGAUAGUAUUAGGGGGUCAUAUUAGAUGAGGACCCCAUACAUCUGCGAUCUCUUGGUGCGCCAAAAUAAAACUACCAAGUCCUGAAUAAAUGAUUUGGUCUCCACCGCCCGAUCUCCGUAGGGACAAGGAAGCAGGUGGACAGUGGUUACCACGAUAUACUGCGAACAUCGGGAUAGAUAUAAAUCGGCUUGUAAAAACCGAAACACUACAAGAAAUGAUCAUAUUACGGCCGGACUCUUAUUGGGUACGACAAUACUACUUUUGACACGACAACUGUACUUGACAAGUGGAACUAGACGUGAUCGGUAGAAUCGA